Molecule: long non-coding RNA, 224 nt
Filed under: Mytilus galloprovincialis (Mediterranean mussel)
Lineage: Eukaryota; Metazoa; Mollusca; Bivalvia; Mytilida; Mytilidae
Source: RNAcentral
AUGCAAUAGUAUUUGGUGGGAAAGUUUUAUGUGUGCAAAGGAGUAGAGUUGGGUACCGACUGUUCAGAUCCUAAUAUUGAACACACCUGCAUGAAAUUAUGAUUAACCACCUUGGUAUUUUAACUAACAACCAGUGCUAUAAAAAUUAUUCAUGAUCUUUACCAUUUUUUUUUUCUUUUCAGUGUUUUUUUCCUUCCAUUUUUUUUUUCAACGGUCAGUAAGCC